ACAACCGUAAAGAACAUCGAGUGUGUUUGUGUGUGUGCGUGUGUCUCGAUUAAGGUGCCCUCGGAAGGUGUCGUCCAAGCAAAAGAAACCGGUCCGUUGCAGCCGGAAACUGCCUGGAAAUAAUAAAAAGUAAACGAAAAGAAACAUCAAGAAUUACUACUUGGAGCGUUUAGAAGAGAAAGGGAAAAGGGGAGUCCAAAGCGGAACGCAGUAAGUCACCGGAGGCACAUCGGAGUAGCAUUAAAGAUAAUACCGCAACGUGGCGUAGUGUAAGCAAUUUUGUGUCCCUGCAACAGCGAAGCCCUCGGCCGGAGCAGCCAAGCCCAACGCACCAGCGGACGCAUCUUACCGCCACCGUUGCUGGAGCCGAC
Anopheles coustani is the source of this 371-nucleotide long non-coding RNA. RefSeq lists it as uncharacterized. The transcript is spliced from 3 exons. The record is from RefSeq and is a predicted model, not a curated record. Lineage: Eukaryota; Metazoa; Arthropoda; Insecta; Diptera; Culicidae.